Anneissia japonica is the source of this 3696-nucleotide long non-coding RNA. RefSeq lists it as uncharacterized. The transcript has 2 exons. The record is from RefSeq and is a predicted model, not a curated record. NCBI's taxonomy places the organism in Eukaryota, Metazoa, Echinodermata, Crinoidea, Comatulida, Comatulidae.
GAGUUUUCAAGGUAUCUUCAGUAGUAACAGCAUUCUGGAGCUGUUGUAUUCAUAUGCAGUGGAUUGCAAUGCUGAAUUGUUGAAAGCUUUGGAGAAUGACGAUGCAUGCAGUAGAAGUCGUAUGGGGUUCAGAUUGGAGCAAAUUCCACAAAUGAGGUCAAAUGUGUAUUGCUAGAAUGAUUAUUUAUGAGUAACAAGUUCUUUCUUCUUUAUACUUCACCUUGGGUAUGUUUAGAAUUCAAUGAAGAAGGGAAUGAGAACUUAAAUAUUACUUAAAGAAACAGAGAAAACUGUGGCAUUCCUAAAUUAUAUAUUGCUGCAUUUCCAUUUUUAUCAAAGAAAAAAAUAGCAUUCCAGAAUAAUAUUUUUGCUACGUUCCUAUUAUCACCAUUUUUUAUAAAAAAAGAUUUUACAUGCCUUAAAAAACAUAGCAUAGAUGUAGGCUAAAUUCAGUGUUUGCCGUUGGUUUUGUCAUAUGAAUUUGUGGGCUCUGUUGUCCGGGAUAUUCAUAUUUUUAAAUUAAAAGUUACAGAAUAAAUAAAUUAUCACCAUCAUCAUCAUUAUCAUCAUCAAUACCAUCAUCAACAUUAUGCUUAUCAUCAUCAUUGAAGAUGCUCAUAUUGUAGGUGUCAUAGAUUAGUGGUAAUUUGUAAUAUUUAGCCUCUCUGUUUGCUUUUCCAAGAAAUCAGUAUACUGUAUUAGAUUAGUAAAUACCGUUUCUUUUCGUCAAGAGUCAUUGCGCCUCGGAAUAGUAUAGUAGAUAGAUGGCGCAUUGUAAGUUCUGUUUUAUUAUUAAUAUAUAAUAUUAUUCAUACAGUAAUAUUGUGAAGCUACAAAAGAAAGCCUUUAGCAGCCAUGUAUUAUUAAAGAUCAGCUUAUAAAGAUGCUUGUAUUCCAAGGUACAAAAGAUAUGAAAUCCAACCUAUGUUUAACAAAUAUUCCAAAAAUUACAUAAAAAUAAGUUUUUUCGAUGAAAUUCUGGUGGAUGUUGUGCAAGUAGAAACUACAAGGUACAAGGUUUCACCAACAUUAUUUUUAAUGGAUUACGUAAAGCCCUCUCCAGACUGUCAAAAACAAUGACAUGCCUAAAUAUGGUCAUGAUGACAUCACAUUACGACCAUAUAUAGGCAUAUCACGACUAAAUAUGGACAUAUAACAGUUAUUUGUCAAAGGAUACUCUGGAAAGAGCUUUUAGAGUGAUGCUCUGAAGACAAAAAAAAAGUACCUGUGAUCUCUAAUCUGCUUUAUAAUAAAUACUCUGUAUUUGUAUAUAAAUAAUAAUUAUAUAAAAUAUAAUCAACUGCAUUGUGUAUAUAUUAAUAAUAAAGUAGAGCAUAUUAUAACAAACAUGAAGUCAGUUGAUUGUUAAAUUCUAACAUUGGGUAUUAACACCUUCGUAGCAAACAAAUCUUUUUUUAGAUAUUUUUUAUUUUAAUCAUUCUUAAUGUAAUUUAAUUCCAUUACCAUCCUUUUUGUUAUGUCUUACUCCUCCACCUACUGCAUACGAUCAAUAAAUAUAUGACUUUUCAAAGAUUUUAUACAAAGAUACAAUUGUUUAAACGUUUAAAGAAGGUGGACUAUUCCAUUAGAAGAGAAACCUAAUUAAUUUGUUCAUGAAAUAUCAAAUAACAACAAUCCAUUUUAGGCAUUGAAUAAAAUAAAAUUAAUGUAAUGGAAAGGUGCAAUGAAACGAGUAUCAUGAGUUAAAAUACUGACUAUUCUAUUCCAUUCAUUAUUUGUAUGAUAUUGCAUUUGCAUUUAUUGAGUGUUAAUCUUAAUAAAAUAACAAAACCCAUUUUAGGUAUAGAAUAAAACAAUUAAUGAAUGUUUAUAUUCAUGCAAUGGAAAGAAUAUAAUCAUUGAGUAAAAAAGGGACUACUAUUCUAUACCAUUCAUUAUUUGUAUGAUAUUGCAUUUGCAUUUAUUGAGUGUUAAUCUUAAUAAAAUAACAAGAAUCCAUUUUACUUAUGGAAUAAAACAAAUAAUGAAUGUUUAUAUUCAUGCAAUGGAAGAAAUAGAAUCAUUGAGUAAAAAAAGGGACUAUUCUAUUCCAUUCAUUAUUUGUAUGAUAUUGCAUUUGCAUUUAUUGAGUGUUAAUCUUAAUCAAAUAACAAGAAUCCAUUUUAGGUAUAGUAUAAGACAAACAAUGAAUGUAUAUAUUCAUGGAAUGGAAAGAAUAUCAUGAGUUGAAGAAGGGACUAUUCUGUUCCAUUCACUAUUUUUAUGUUAUCGCAUUUGCAUUGAGUGUUAAGCUUAUUCUUUGUAAAUACACAUGAGUAAACAAGCAUAUGUAUCCUAUUCAGUAUUUAAUCAGAUUUUUUAUUACGCUUGAAACAGCUUUUUAUAUAAUAUUUACAGUUUGAUGAGUACAAUAUAUAUAUUUUUUAGGCUAUAUAACCAACUUUAUAUGAAUAUGUAUAUGAUAUAUGAUUAGCUAUAUAUUACAAAUUGUAUUGUAGUUUUUUUAUAUUAAAAUAAAUAUAGAUAUAGAUUUAUAUGAAUGUUUUUAUUUUUCGUCAUGUAAUUUUCUUAAGAACAAAGUGCAGUAUGUAAGUUAAGGCCAAAUAAAAGAAAAAUAUAUUGUGUUGGCCAAGCCCCGAACGACCCAAAAUGUACGAAAUUGAGGUUCGGCAUUGUAGUUCUUUUUUUCUUUUGGCUACAAUGAAAAAUAUUUUUUUUAAUGAGCUAAAAUGCUCGAAAAGGCUUAUUUUGCUGGACGGUAGGUGAUGCGAAUGUUGUGCGAUUGUUUUGCUCUUCAAAAUAAAUUAAAAAAUGUUCUUUGUUGUAUUUUUGUGUAUUUUCUACUUUUUAGGUAUAAACACAUUUUUGGUUAAAAAGAAAAAAAAAAUUUUUCCUACAGACCUACCAAUAUUUUGGAUUUUCCUGAAACUUGGUUAACACAAGAAUUUAUUUUUUCUGGCCUAUUGGUUAUGGUAUUAGAAGGAAUGGUAGUACUGGGUUUUUUUUUGUUUUUUGUUUUGUUUUUUUGUUUUGUUUUUUGUUUGUUUUUUUUUUUUCUUUUUUUGUUGCUUCUCUUGUUUCUCCUCCAAGCUUCGGAUGAUAAACAAAUUUAAUAUAUUGUUAUUUGUUGUUGGUGCAACCACCUUUUUCACCUUUUAAAUAUUUAACAAUCUGUAAUUCACCAACCGUUUUUUUGUCAAACAUCCUUUUAGUGUCUUAGAAAAAUCAGUUGUACAAAAUACCAAAACAUUUUCCUAUCCAAAGCCUAGCUUUAAGGAUAUUUGUGGUUAAAAUUUUCAUUCUAGACUUUCUCUUUCGAAUAUUUCCUUCUACAGGGCAUUUCUAGAAUAGAUCUUUUUUAAUAAUGAAAAUAAGCUUUAUAUUCGAUUGUAAAACAUAAUUUGUGUUUUUAGUUAUACUGUAUAUCAUAUAAAUGCUAUUAUAUUAAUUGUGUAUUAUGCAAUAUAUUGAAUUAUUGAAAAAUAAAAUAAAAAAUAAAUAAAGAACUUGUCCUGGUGGGGAAUAUAUGUAGAUCACAUGAUAGUAACUUUGGUAUGGAGAAACACCUUCGCAAUUGAUAAGCUAAUUAUUUUAUUUUAGAAAAACAUCGGUAUUGGAACCAGUCAUGGAGGUACAAUCAUUCCAUUGAACCAUUCCUGGACGUUUUAGCGGAGCUAAUUAUUAUUAUUAUUCUGAAUAGAAUAUAUAAAUAAAAGAUUGUACUUUUUUGCUUCA